ACACUAACCGGGCAGGGACGAUACCAUGAUCCAGAAGGUGGUUUCCUCUGGGCGAGGCUGGUGCGUUGCACUCAGGUGUGCUGACCCCUGCAAUUUCCCCAAAUGUGGGAGGCUCGACCGCAUAACUAGUGCUGGUGGGGGGCUGCAUUUGCGCCGUCCCCUG
This is a small nuclear RNA of Artibeus jamaicensis (Jamaican fruit-eating bat), 163 nucleotides long. RefSeq annotates it as U1 spliceosomal RNA. NCBI's taxonomy places the organism in Eukaryota, Metazoa, Chordata, Mammalia, Chiroptera, Phyllostomidae. The transcript has a single exon. The record is from RefSeq and is a predicted model, not a curated record.